CAGCCGCCGCGGGAAUACGAAGGGGGCUAGCGUUGUUCGGAAUUACUGGGCGUAAAGCGCACGUAGGCGGAUCGAUCAGUCAGGGGUGAAAUCCCAGGGCUCAACCCUGGAACUGCCUUUGAUACUGUCGAUCUGGAGUAUGGAAGAGGUGAGUGGAAUUCCGAGUGUAGAGGUGAAAUUCGUAGAUAUUCGCAGGAACACCAGUGGCGAAGGCGGCUAACUGGUCCAUAACUGACGCUGAGGUGCGAAAGCGUGGGGAGCAAACAGGAUUAGAUACCCCGGUAGUCCCUGUCUCUUAUAC
RNAcentral lists this ribosomal RNA (301 nucleotides) under uncultured bacterium. RNAcentral's name for it is "partial 16S ribosomal RNA". It matches the Rfam family "Bacterial small subunit ribosomal RNA", at positions 509 to 807 of the family's 1533-position model. The record is from RNAcentral.